RNAcentral lists this unclassified non-coding RNA (200 nucleotides) under uncultured Micrococcaceae bacterium. Its description in RNAcentral is "contains 16S-23S intergenic spacer region". It matches the Rfam family "Bacterial small subunit ribosomal RNA", at positions 996 to 1199 of the family's 1533-position model. Lineage: Bacteria; Bacillati; Actinomycetota; Actinomycetes; Micrococcales; Micrococcaceae. The record is from RNAcentral.
ACGCCUGGAGACAGGUGCCCCGCUUGCGGUCGGUUUACAGGUGGUGCAUGGUUGUCGUCAGCUCGUGUCGUGAGAUGUUGGGUUAAGUCCCGCAACGAGCGCAACCCUCGUUCUAUGUUGCCAGCACGUGAUGGUGGGGACUCAUAGGAGACUGCCGGGGUCAACUCGGAGGAAGGUGGGGAUGACGUUACGGUCUUACU